CACAGACUAUCUCAUGUGGCCCAAAGGCCCCAGGAAAAGAAAGAAAAUUUUCAGACAGUACAUUUGAAAGGCUUAGAGGUUCCCUUCCAGGAGCUGAGGGCAAAGGGCAAACCUGUCUUCAGCAAACGCUAAUGCAUUACUGCACAGGUCCCUUUAGUCCAUGCUGGCCAGAAAAUCUAUGUUUAAAGCUCUGUGGGUUUUCUAUGAAUUUUGUCGGCAUUUACUCCAUUAGAGAGAACCACAAGUAUCAAUCUCUUCAAGUUUGCUUCUCCAGUAAAACGGCCAAUUCAAGAAUGUCUCAUGGAUUCACCUCGUCUUAAGAGAAAGAAUAAAGGAUGGACGUAUUGCAAGGCUUGCCAAGUGGUACCACGUCCAGACCCGGGAUCUGAACCAGCGAACCCUGGGCCGCCAAAGCAGGACGUGCGAAAUUAACUGCUGCAUCAUGAGACCAGCCCCAAGAGAAAUAACUUUUUAUGUGUAGACAAUAUCAUAAAGAGUGGUGAUCUAGGCUGGAAGUCCCUGAUAUUUCCAUAACACAAUCCCAGCCAUUUCUCACAUGUUGUAUUUUCCACAGUGAAUAUAUUUAUCGUGGCAUGGGGGAAUCAGACUUUCAACUCUGAGUUCAUUCUGCUGGGAAUUUUCAGUCACAGACCCAGCUGCACCUUUCUCUUCUCUCUGGUCUUGGUCAUCUUCACAGUGGCCUUCAGGGGGAAACACCGCCAUGGUUCUCCUCAUCUACCUGGACACUCGGCUCCACACUCCCAUGAACUUCCUCCUCAG
RNAcentral lists this long non-coding RNA (780 nucleotides) under Equus caballus (horse). RNAcentral's name for it is "lncRNA (ENSECAG00000050712.1)". The record is from RNAcentral. Lineage: Eukaryota; Metazoa; Chordata; Mammalia; Perissodactyla; Equidae.